UGCAAAUCAAUAUAAAUUGAUUUAUGAAUUAUUUAUUAAUUAAUUUUGUUUAAAUUAUUUUAUAUAGUUUCUAUAUAUAUAUAUAUAUGUAUUAUUUAUUAAUUUAUAUUAAAAAUAAUUAUAUAAUUAUGUGUUUUAGUAAUUUUUAAUGAAAAAAUAAUUUUUAUGAUUUGUAUUGUAAAAGAUUAUUGAAAAAUUUUUAAAAAUUUUUAUUGAAAAAGAAAAAUUAAUUAUUUGUACCUUGUGUUUAUUAAAUAAUUAAUAAUUAUUUAUUAAUCUCGAUUUUAUAAGAGUUAAUAAUUUAUGAAAGUUAAUGUAUUAAAAUUAUUUUAAAUAAAUUAUUUGAAAUGAAAUGUUAUUCGUUUAUAAAGGUAUCUAGUUUUUUUAGAAAUAAAUUCAAUUUAUUAAUUUUUGAUUUAUUUAUUAAUUUUUUAAUAAAUAAAUUUAUUAAUUAAAAUAUUUUAAGGGAUAAGCUUUAAAAUAAAAUUAUUAUAAAUUUAAUAAAUUGAUUUUAAAAAUAUAUGCAUAGAAUUAGCAAUUAUUAAAAAUUUUGUUAUAAAUUAUUUUAUAAUUAUAUUAUUUAUUUAUAUUUUAAUUUUUUUUUAUAAAAAUUUUAUUUUUAAUUUUAUUUAAUAAUUAAUAAUGAUAAAAUUAGUAUAUGUUAUAAUGUAAAAAUAAUUAUAAAUGAUAGGUUUAAAUAAAGAACUCGGCAAAUAUAUUACUCGCCUGUUUAACAAAAACAUGUCUUUUUGAGUUAUUUUUAAAGUCUAACCUGCCCAAUGAAUAAAUUUUAAUGGCCGCAGUAUUCUGACUGUGCAAAGGUAGCAUAANCAUUAGUCUUUUAAUUGAAGGCUUGUAUGAAUGGUUGGACGAAGUAUAANCUGUUUCAUUUAAAUUUAUUUUAGAAUUUUAUUUUUUAGUUAAAAAGCUAAAAUUUAAUUAAAAGACGAGAAGACCCUAUAAAUCUUUAUAAUUUAUUUUAUUUUUAUUUUUUAGACUUAAUUUUAUUUAAAUAAAGUUAAUUAUUUUGUUGGGGUGAUAUUAAAAUUUAAAUAACUUUUAAUUUUUAAAUACAUUAAUUUAUGAUUAAUUGAUCCAUUAUUAAUGAUUAAAAGAAUAAGUUACUUUAGGGAUAACAGCGUAAUUUUUUUGGAGAGUUCUUAUUGAUAAAAAAGUUUGCGACCUCGAUGUUGGAUUAAGAUAUAAUUUUAGGUGUAGUUGCUUAAAUAAUAAGUCUGUUCGACUUU
RNAcentral lists this ribosomal RNA (1247 nucleotides) under Campiglossa californica. RNAcentral describes it as "partial 16S ribosomal RNA". The record is from RNAcentral. Lineage: Eukaryota; Metazoa; Arthropoda; Insecta; Diptera; Tephritidae.